RNAcentral lists this ribosomal RNA (385 nucleotides) under uncultured bacterium. Its description in RNAcentral is "bacterial SSU rRNA". It matches the Rfam family "Bacterial small subunit ribosomal RNA", at positions 28 to 417 of the family's 1533-position model. The record is from RNAcentral.
GACGAACGCUGGCGGCGUGCUUAACACAUGCAAGUCGAACGAUGAACCACUUCGGUGGGGAUUAGUGGCGAACGGGUGAGUAACACGUGGGCAAUCUGCCCUUCACUCUGGGACAAGCCCUGGAAACGGGGUCUAAUACCGGAUAACACUGUCACGGGCAUCUGUGGUGGUUAAAAGCUCCGGCGGUGAAGGAUGAGCCCGCGGCCUAUCAGCUUGUUGGUGAGGUAAUGGCUCACCAAGGCGACGACGGGUAGCCGGCCUGAGAGGGCGACCGGCCACACUGGGACUGAGACACGGCCCAGACUCCUACGGGAGGCAGCAGUGGGGAAUCUUGCGCAAUGGGCGAAAGCCUGACGCAGCGACGCCGCGUAAGGGAUGACGGCCU